UGUAAACACAUUUACCGCUCUUGAAA
This 26-nucleotide unclassified non-coding RNA is filed under the name Mus musculus (house mouse). RNAcentral's name for it is "oocyte_clustered_small_RNA4743". The record is from RNAcentral. Lineage: Eukaryota; Metazoa; Chordata; Mammalia; Rodentia; Muridae.